Molecule: ribosomal RNA, 1105 nt
Filed under: Lactiplantibacillus plantarum subsp. plantarum
Lineage: Bacteria; Bacillati; Bacillota; Bacilli; Lactobacillales; Lactobacillaceae
Description: bacterial SSU rRNA
Rfam family: Bacterial small subunit ribosomal RNA
Source: RNAcentral
AACUCUGGUAUUGAUUGGUGCUUGCAUCAUGAUUUACAUUUGAGUGAGUGGCGAACUGGUGAGUAACACGUGGGAAACCUGCCCAGAAGCGGGGGAUAACACCUGGAAACAGAUGCUAAUACCGCAUAACAACUUGGACCGCAUGGUCCGAGUUUGAAAGAUGGCUUCGGCUAUCACUUUUGGAUGGUCCCGCGGCGUAUUAGCUAGAUGGUGGGGUAACGGCUCACCAUGGCAAUGAUACGUAGCCGACCUGAGAGGGUAAUCGGCCACAUUGGGACUGAGACACGGCCCAAACUCCUACGGGAGGCAGCAGUAGGGAAUCUUCCACAAUGGACGAAAGUCUGAUGGAGCAACGCCGCGUGAGUGAAGAAGGGUUUCGGCUCGUAAAACUCUGUUGUUAAAGAAGAACAUAUCUGAGAGUAACUGUUCAGGUAUUGACGGUAUUUAACCAGAAAGCCACGGCUAACUACGUGCCAGCAGCCGCGGUAAUACGUAGGUGGCAAGCGUUGUCCGGAUUUAUUGGGCGUAAAGCGAGCGCAGGCGGUUUUUUAAGUCUGAUGUGAAAGCCUUCGGCUCAACCGAAGAAGUGCAUCGGAAACUGGGAAACUUGAGUGCAGAAGAGGACAGUGGAACUCCAUGUGUAGCGGUGAAAUGCGUAGAUAUAUGGAAGAACACCAGUGGCGAAGGCGGCUGUCUGGUCUGUAACUGACGCUGAGGCUCGAAAGUAUGGGUAGCAAACAGGAUUAGAUACCCUGGUAGUCCAUACCGUAAACGAUGAAUGCUAAGUGUUGGAGGGUUUCCGCCCUUCAGUGCUGCAGCUAACGCAUUAAGCAUUCCGCCUGGGGAGUACGGCCGCAAGGCUGAAACUCAAAGGAAUUGACGGGGGCCCGCACAAGCGGUGGAGCAUGUGGUUUAAUUCGAAGCUACGCGAAGAACCUUACCAGGUCUUGACAUACUAUGCAAAUCUAAGAGAUUAGACGUUCCCUUCGGGGACAUGGAUACAGGUGGUGCAUGGGUUGUCGUCAGCUCGUGUCGUGAGAUGUUGGGUUAAGUCCCGCAACGAGCGCAACCCCUUAUUAUCAGUUGCCAGCAUUAAGUUGGGCAC